This 870-nucleotide ribosomal RNA is filed under the name uncultured Planctomycetota bacterium. Its description in RNAcentral is "bacterial SSU rRNA". It matches the Rfam family "Bacterial small subunit ribosomal RNA", at positions 28 to 897 of the family's 1533-position model. The record is from RNAcentral. Lineage: Bacteria; Pseudomonadati; Planctomycetota.
AAUGAACGUUGGCGGCGUGGAUUAGGCAUGCAAGUCGAGCGCGAACCCCGCAAGGGGGGAGAGCGGCAAACGGGGUAGUAACGGGUAGGUGACGUACCCUCGGGUUGGGGAUAGCCACGGGAAACUGUGGGUAAUACCCAAUAAUCUCUUCACACGUGAUUGUGUGGAGAGCAAAGGUGUGAUUCCACCGGAGGAGCGGCCUGCCUCGUAUUAGCUGGUUGGUGAGGUAACGGCUCACCAAGGCAUCGAUGCGUAGGGGGUGUGAGAGCAUGACCCCCACCACUGGGACUGAGAUACUGCCCAGACACCUACGGGUGGCUGCAGUCGAGAAUCUUCGGCAAUGGGCGCAAGCCUGACCGAGCGACGCCGCGUGUGGGAUGAAGGCCCUUGGGUUGUAAACCACUGUCAGAGGGGAUGAAGUGCCAGAGAGUUAUCUCUCUGGUUUGACAUAGCCUCAGAGGAAGCACGGGCUAAGUUCGUGCCAGCAGCCGCGGUAAUACGAACUGUGCAAACGUUAUUCGGAAUCACUGGGCUUACAGGGUGCGUAGGCGGCCUGUUAAGUAGGGUGUGAAAGCCCCCGGCUCAACCGGGGAAUGGCGCCCUAAACUGGCGGGCUGGAGUGAGAUAGGGGUGUGCGGAACUUCCGGUGGAGCGGUGAAAUGUGUUGAUAUCGGAAGGAACGCCGGUGGCGAAAGCGGCACACUGGAUCUCAACUGACGCUGAGGCACGAAAGCCAGGGGAGCGAACGGGAUUAGAUACCCCGGUAGUCCUGGCUGUAAACGAUGAGCACUAGCUGGGAGGGACGUAGGUCCUUCCCAACGGAGCGAAAGUGUUAAGUGCUCCGCCUGGGGAGUAUGGUCGCAAGGCUGA